This 54-nucleotide transfer RNA is filed under the name Diximermis spiculatus. RNAcentral's name for it is "tRNA-Cys". The record is from RNAcentral. Lineage: Eukaryota; Metazoa; Nematoda; Enoplea; Mermithida; Mermithidae.
AUACUUAUAUAGAAAUUCCCUAAAUUAUUUGCAAAAUAAUCUAUAAUAUUUCUU